AAUAAUUUUAUAUGUAUAUUAAAAACUCGGCAGUUCAUUAUUUGACAACAAACUAAACUUAAGUAAUAAGUACCAAUGAAAGAGCUUAUUGUUCUUGUCCUCUUCGCUCUCUAUUCGCGGCUCUCAAUCGAUCUAAAGUUACAUUAUCGCAUCAGAUGAUUAAUCAAUUUAUAUUCCGCUGGAAGUAACUUUAAUAAAUGGAUCGUCAUGCGAAAAGAUUAUAGCAUAAUUUCAUCGGGGCAAAACGAGACCAGACUGACUCUACUAGGGCGCUUCAAUCGUCUAUAAUUGCCCGAUUAGUAAUUUAAAUAUUAUGCAAAGUAAACUGAGUUUAUUAACUUGGAUGAUUAAAUACUGUCCCGAAGAAAUGAGAA
Cotesia glomerata is the source of this 374-nucleotide long non-coding RNA. RefSeq lists it as uncharacterized. Lineage: Eukaryota; Metazoa; Arthropoda; Insecta; Hymenoptera; Braconidae. The record is from RefSeq and is a predicted model, not a curated record. The transcript is spliced from 2 exons.